AUAGGAGUACAUGAUCGUCGAACGUGACCAACUGUGAAAUACUCUACUAUCAAGAGUAGCUCGCAAAGGGUAUAGAUAUAAGUGUCCCUCCGACCUGAGAUCACCACAGUGACUUGCAAGCAACUCACUGUACAUCGAUGUCGGACUAUCUAAAUUUUUAAUUCAGUGAUGAAAGAUUUUUGAGUAUAGUCAAAUAUUUAUUAAGUCGAUGCAUGAGUCAAUAUGAGAUUGACCCC
This 236-nucleotide long non-coding RNA is filed under the name Elaeis guineensis (African oil palm). RNAcentral describes it as "long non-coding RNA (EGUI_LNC040258)". The record is from RNAcentral. Lineage: Eukaryota; Viridiplantae; Streptophyta; Magnoliopsida; Arecales; Arecaceae.